AAAUACUGAAAGACCUCUCCCGGGGGGGCCUGGCCUUGUGGUUUCUGCGUUCUGCGGAACUGCGGAAAUUCACUACGUUGCCAGGGGGUCCCGGGGGAGUGAUUUUCAAACCCUUGUGAACCACAACUCUGUUGCUUCGGGGGCGACCCCGCCGUCUCGGCGGUGGUGCUCCCGGUGGCCAUCAAUCAAACUCUGCAUCACCUUGCGUCGGAGUCUUAUAAAGAAUUAAACA
This 232-nucleotide unclassified non-coding RNA is filed under the name Lecanosticta jani. Its description in RNAcentral is "Internal trancribed spacer region 1". The record is from RNAcentral. Lineage: Eukaryota; Fungi; Ascomycota; Dothideomycetes; Mycosphaerellales; Mycosphaerellaceae.